This 302-nucleotide ribosomal RNA is filed under the name uncultured soil bacterium. RNAcentral describes it as "bacterial SSU rRNA". It matches the Rfam family "Bacterial small subunit ribosomal RNA", at positions 26 to 341 of the family's 1533-position model. The record is from RNAcentral.
AGAAUGAACGCUGGCGGCGUGCCUAAUACAUGCAAGUCGUGCGGCAGCAUGCCCUUCGGGGUGAUGGCGAGCGGCGGACGGCUGAGUAACGCGUAGGAAUCUACCCCAAAGUGAGGAAUAACCUCGAGAAAUCGAGGCUAAUGCCGCAUAUGGUCUCCGGAUUAAAGGAUUUAUCCGCUUUGGGGAAGAGCCUGCGUAAGAUUAGCUAGUUGGUGAGGUAAUGGCUCACCAAGGCGACGAUCUUUAGCUGGUCUGAGAGGAUGACCAGCCAGACUGGAACUGAGACACGGUCCAGACUCCUA